RNAcentral lists this ribosomal RNA (251 nucleotides) under Staphylococcus aureus. RNAcentral's name for it is "partial 23S ribosomal RNA". It matches the Rfam family "Bacterial large subunit ribosomal RNA", at positions 40 to 288 of the family's 2925-position model. Lineage: Bacteria; Bacillati; Bacillota; Bacilli; Caryophanales; Staphylococcaceae. The record is from RNAcentral.
UAGAAGCCGAUGAAGGACGUUACUAACGACGAUAUGCUUUGGGGAGCUGUAAGUAAGCUUUGAUCCAGAGAUUUCCGAAUGGGGAAACCCAGCAUGAGUUAUGUCAUGUUAUCGAUAUGUGAAUACAUAGCAUAUCAGAAGGCACACCCGGAGAACUGAAACAUCUUAGUACCCGGAGGAAGAGAAAGAAAAUUCGAUUCCCUUAGUAGCGGCGAGCGAAACGGGAAGAGCCCAAACCAACAAGCUUGCUU